CCUACGGGAGGCAGCAGUGAGGAAUAUUGGUCAAUGGCCGUAAGGCUGAACCAGCCAAGUCGCGUGAGGGAAGACUGCCCUAUGGGUUGUAAACCUCUUUUAUGCGGGGAUAAAGGUGUCCACGUGUGGAUGUUUGCAGGUACCGCAUGAAUAAGGACCGGCUAAUUCCGUGCCAGCAGCCGCGGUAAUACGGAAGGUCCGGGCGUUAUCCGGAUUUAUUGGGUUUAAAGGGUGCGUAGGCCGGUCUUUAAGCGUGCCGGGAAAUUUUGUGGCUCAACCAUGGGAGUGCGGCGCGAACUGGAGACCUUGAGUGCGCGGAAGGCAGGCGGAAUUCGUGGUGUAGCGGUGAAAUGCAUAGAUAUCACGCAGAACUCCGAUUGCGAAGGCAGCUUACUAACCUGCCACUGACAUUGAUGCACGAAAGUGUGGGUAUCGAACAGGAUUAGAUACCCUGGUAGUC
This 460-nucleotide ribosomal RNA is filed under the name uncultured bacterium. RNAcentral describes it as "partial 16S ribosomal RNA". It matches the Rfam family "Bacterial small subunit ribosomal RNA", at positions 338 to 795 of the family's 1533-position model. The record is from RNAcentral.